ACGCUCGACACCUACGGGCAGCAGUGGGGAAUAUUGCACAAUGGGGGAAACCCUGAUGCAGCAACGCCGCGUGAAGGAAGACGGUUUUCGGAUUGUAAACUUCUGUUCUUAGUGAAGAUAGUGACGGUAGCUAAGGAGCAAGCCACGGCUAACUACGUGUCAGCAGCCGCGGUAAUCUGAGCGGGCUGGCAAGGC
RNAcentral lists this ribosomal RNA (195 nucleotides) under uncultured bacterium. Its description in RNAcentral is "partial 16S ribosomal RNA". It matches the Rfam family "Bacterial small subunit ribosomal RNA", at positions 326 to 539 of the family's 1533-position model. The record is from RNAcentral.